This 468-nucleotide ribosomal RNA is filed under the name uncultured bacterium. RNAcentral describes it as "partial 16S ribosomal RNA". It matches the Rfam family "Bacterial small subunit ribosomal RNA", at positions 28 to 507 of the family's 1533-position model. The record is from RNAcentral.
GACGAACGCUGGCGGCGUGCUUAACACAUGCAAGUCGAACGGAAAGGCCCUGCUUUUGUGGGGUGCUCGAGUGGCGAACGGGUGAGUAACACGUGAGUAACCUGCCCUUGACUUUGGGAUAACUUCAGGUAACUGGUGCUAAUACCGGAUAGGAGCUCCUGCUGCAUGGUGGGGGUUUGAAAGCUUCGGCGUUGGGGGAUGGACUCGCGGCUUAUCAGCUUGUUGGUGGGGGAGUGGCUUACCAAGGCUUUGACGGGUAGCCGGCCUGGGAGGGUGACCGGCCACAUUAGGACUGAGAUACGGCCCAGACUCCUACGGGAGGCAGCAGUGGGGAAUAUUGCAGAAUGGGCGGAAGCCUGAUGCAGCAACGCCGCGUGCGGGAUGACGGCCUUCGGGUUGUAAACCGCUUUCGCCUGUGACGAAGCGUGAGUGACGGUACUGGGUAAAGAAGCCCCGGCUAACUACGUG